UACGUAGGGUGCAAGCGUUGUCCGGAAUUAUUGGGCGUAAAGAGCUCGUAGGCGGUUCGUCGCGUCGGCUGUGAAAUCCCGAGGCUCAACCUCGGGUCUGCAGUCGAUACGGGCGGACUGGAGUUCGGCAGGGGAGACUGGAAUUCCUGGUGUAGCGGUGAAAUGCGCAGAUAUCAGGAGGAACACCGAUUGCGAAGGCAGCUCGCUGGAACGUUACUGACGCUGAGACGCGAAAGCGUGGGGAGCGAACAGG
RNAcentral lists this ribosomal RNA (253 nucleotides) under uncultured bacterium. RNAcentral describes it as "partial 16S ribosomal RNA". It matches the Rfam family "Bacterial small subunit ribosomal RNA", at positions 524 to 776 of the family's 1533-position model. The record is from RNAcentral.